Molecule: ribosomal RNA, 759 nt
Filed under: Neisseria subflava
Lineage: Bacteria; Pseudomonadati; Pseudomonadota; Betaproteobacteria; Neisseriales; Neisseriaceae
Description: bacterial SSU rRNA
Rfam family: Bacterial small subunit ribosomal RNA
Source: RNAcentral
AUUGAACGCUGGCGGCAUGCUUUACACAUGCAAGUCGGACGGCAGCACAGAGAAGCUUGCUUCUUGGGUGGCGAGUGGCGAACGGGUGAGUAAUAUAUCGGAACGUACCGAGUAAUGGGGGAUAACUAAUCGAAAGAUUAGCUAAUACCGCAUAUUCUCUGAGGAGGAAAGCAGGGGACCUUCGGGCCUUGCGUUAUUCGAGCGGCCGAUAUCUGAUUAGCUAGUUGGUGGGGUAAAGGCCUACCAAGGCGACGAUCAGUAGCGGGUCUGAGAGGAUGAUCCGCCACACUGGGACUGAGACACGGCCCAGACUCCUACGGGAGGCAGCAGUGGGGAAUUUUGGACAAUGGGCGCAAGCCUGAUCCAGCCAUGCCGCGUGUCUGAAGAAGGCCUUCGGGUUGUAAAGGACUUUUGUCAGGGAAGAAAAGGCUGUUGCUAAUAUCGACAGCUGAUGACGGUACCUGAAGAAUAAGCACCGGCUAACUACGUGCCAGCAGCCGCGGUAAUACGUAGGGUGCGAGCGUUAAUCGGAAUUACUGGGCGUAAAGCGAGCGCAGACGGUUACUUAAGCAGGAUGUGAAAUCCCCGGGCUCAACCUGGGAACUGCGUUCUGAACUGGGUGACUAGAGUGUGUCAGAGGGAGGUAGAAUUCCACGUGUAGCAGUGAAAUGCGCAGAGAUGUGGAGGAAUACCGAUGGCGAAGGCAGCCUCCUGGGAUAACACUGACGUUCAUGCUCGAAAGCGUGGGUAGCAAACAGG